This 669-nucleotide ribosomal RNA is filed under the name uncultured fungus. Its description in RNAcentral is "eukaryotic LSU rRNA". It matches the Rfam family "Eukaryotic large subunit ribosomal RNA", at positions 24 to 664 of the family's 3401-position model. Lineage: Eukaryota; Fungi. The record is from RNAcentral.
CCCGCUGAACUUAAGCAUAUCAAUAAGCGGAGGAAAAGAAACUAACAAGGAUUCCCCUAGUAACUGCGAGUGAAGCGGGAAGAGCUCAAAUUUAAAAUCUGGCGCGCCUUUGGCCGUCCGAGUUGUAGUCUGGAGAAGCGUUUAUCCGCGUCGGACCGUGUACAAGUCUUCUGGAAGGGAGCGUCAUAGAGGGUGAGAAUCCCGUCUCUGACACGGACAACCGAUGCUUUUGUGAUACGCUCUCGAAGAGUCGAGUUGUUUGGGAAUGCAGCUCAAAAUGGGUGGUAAAUUCCAUCUAAAGCUAAAUAUUGGCGAGAGGCCGAUAGCGAACAAGUACCGUGAGGGAAAGAUGAAAAGCACUUUGGAAAGAGAGUUAAACAGUACGUGAAAUUGUUGAAAGGGAAACGUUUGAAGUCAGUCGCGUCGGCCGAGACUCAGCCUCGCUUUUUCAGCUUGGUGCACUUCUCGGUUGACGGGUCAGCAUCAAUUUUGAUCGCCGGAAAAGGGCUGGGGGAAUGUGGCAUCUCUCGAGAUGUGUUAUAGCCCUCGGUUCGCAUACGGCGGUUGGGAUUGAGGAACUCAGCGCGCCUUUAUGGUCGAGGCUUUUGCCUACGCAACGCGCUUAGGAUGCUGGCAUAAUGGCUUUAAGCGACCCGUCUUGAAACACGG